Molecule: long non-coding RNA, 1302 nt
Organism: Helianthus annuus (common sunflower)
Lineage: Eukaryota; Viridiplantae; Streptophyta; Magnoliopsida; Asterales; Asteraceae
Exons: 3
Source: RefSeq, a predicted model, not a curated record
CAUAAGCCGCCACCACCACCAUGAUGAUCCUGAAUAACCACCAAUGGAUUCUGGUUAAACUCGGCCAAUUUUCAUCUACAUUUAUGAUUUAACCCUGCAAUUCAUCCGAUUCAGUUCCAUUUUGUUUCAAUCCGGAUUACUAACAACAUCAUUCACCGUUCAGAAAUCAAUCCAUCAGCUAAUUUGAGAAUAUUAGACAAGAGCAAUAUCCAUGAUCCUUGAUGCAAAGACUGAUAGAGAGGUUCUAGCAGAGGCGAUUGAAAAUCUUAUAACACCACUUGGACUGCAGAAAGGAAAGACGGAAAGGAUACAAAGAUUUUCUGAAGGAUAUUUAUGGGAUGGACACACAUCACUCAACUCCAUGGCGUUGGGGAGUACGUCGCAGAUGCCUAUGAAAUAUUUGUUACAGGGCAGUGGAGGCGCAUGAUACCCGCAGAUCAUAUGCUAGACAGGUACCGGGAAAUUCUUCGUCUAGUUAACAUUACAUAAAGACAAUGUUAACACUAGCAGUGACACGUAUGGUGUAGAUUUUGGGGGAUGUUUCAUUGUUUUGUCGUUUUGAUUAUAAUAGUGGAUGUACGGUACAACCAUGUUGCUGCCCACGACAGAUCAUCCUUCCAACCCAAACAAACCAGUUAGUUUCACACAUAAAAAGCCAUUACGACACAAUCUUGACCCAUUUACAUAUGAAUGAGUCAAUAUGGGCUGCAUCUUAUAUCUAACAGGUUAAAUAGACCCUUUCGCAGACGGUAUUGAGUCCGUGAAAAGCCCCCUAAACUGAUCAGUAAACAAGAAAAGCUGCACUCAUGAAAGUAAAGCCAAAAGCUUCAUCAAAAUAUCACAACCAAGUCAUUCAAGAGCUAAAAAUGAUGCAAGUAUUUGAUAUCUGUUCAGGGCCUGUUUAGCAUGAACCAAUAACAAAUCAGAGUAAGAAGAGUUAUAAGGCAUGAAUGCAAUAGCUGCAACAGUUUCACCAGCAAUGUUUGAACCCAGUGCUCAGUAUUCAUUUUAUAAUCAGUUUAUGGCAUUGUAAUGUCUUCAGCGCACUCCCAACAGAAGAACAUUAAUAGUUUUGUGAAUAUGAUCUGUGUAUCAAGCCCGUAUAAAUAAUGUGAGAUUUAGCUUAGUAAUUUGAUUGUUUUGUGACAAUAUUCAUGCAAGUUAGGUUUUGCUUGAGGUUCUUUUUGCACCUGUGCUAUUGUAAAAGGGUUUUCUUUUUGACAGUUUCAACGCGGUGCUGUGUUGUUUGCUUUGUAUCUUGUUCUCUAGUGGUUUUUAAUAAUAUCAGUAUUGCCAUAAAAA